UGAUAUUUUAAAAUAUUGACUUCAAGUCAAAAAUUGUCACAAGCAAAAAAGAAGAACAUUACAUAAUGAUAAAAGGAUCAAUUUACCAGGAAGACAUAACAA
Molecule: long non-coding RNA, 102 nt
Organism: Sapajus apella (tufted capuchin)
Lineage: Eukaryota; Metazoa; Chordata; Mammalia; Primates; Cebidae
Exons: 3
Source: RefSeq, a predicted model, not a curated record